RNAcentral lists this transfer RNA (74 nucleotides) under Nicotiana attenuata. It matches the Rfam family "tRNA". Rfam says of the family: Transfer RNA (tRNA) molecules are approximately 80 nucleotides in length. Their secondary structure includes four short double-helical elements and three loops (D, anti-codon, and T loops). The record is from Rfam by way of RNAcentral. Lineage: Eukaryota; Viridiplantae; Streptophyta; Magnoliopsida; Solanales; Solanaceae.
GGGAUUGUAGUUCAAUCGGUUAAAACACUGCCAUGUCAAGGCAGAAGUUGUGGGUUCGAGCCCCGUUAAUCUCG